RNAcentral lists this ribosomal RNA (486 nucleotides) under uncultured bacterium. RNAcentral describes it as "partial 16S ribosomal RNA". It matches the Rfam family "Bacterial small subunit ribosomal RNA", at positions 30 to 507 of the family's 1533-position model. The record is from RNAcentral.
AUUGAACGCUGGCGGCAUGCCUUACACAUGCAAGUCGAACGGCAGCACGGGUGCUUGCACCUGGUGGCGAGUGGCGAACGGGUGAGUAAUACAUCGGAACAUGUCCUGUAGUGGGGGAUAGCCCGGCGAAAGCCGGAUUAAUACCGCAUACGAUCUACGGAUGAAAGCGGGGGACCUUCGGGCCUCGCGCUAUAGGGUUGGCCGAUGGCUGAUUAGCUAGUUGGUGGGGUAAAGGCCUACCAAGGCGACGAUCAGUAGCUGGUCUGAGAGGAGGACCAGCCACACUGGAACUGAGACACGGCCCAGACUCCUACGGGAGGCAGCAGUGGGGAAUUUUGGACAAUGGGCGAAAGCCUGAUCCAGCAAUGCCGCGUGUGUGAAGAAGGCCUUCGGGUUGUAAAGCACUUUUGUCCGGAAAGAAAUCCUUGGCUCUAAUACAGUCGGGGGAUGACGGUACCGGAAGAAUAAGCACCGGCUAACUACGUG